This is a long non-coding RNA of Ornithodoros turicata, 2124 nucleotides long. RefSeq lists it as uncharacterized. Lineage: Eukaryota; Metazoa; Arthropoda; Arachnida; Ixodida; Argasidae. The transcript has 2 exons. The record is from RefSeq and is a predicted model, not a curated record.
CUACUGUAGAAGUAGUUAGUGGCCAUCACUGUUUACUAUCAAUGUCUUGUGGUUCACAUCAAAGGUAAUCAGCAGGUUGCUCACCUGAUUGCUUCUGUAAAAAGUGUGGUGGUCCAUCAGGUGCUGUCCCAGCCGUCCUGGUGGCCAACCAGGGGCUGUCAGAAUCAACUGGUGGCCAAUCAGGGGCCACAAGAACAGGUCUCGUGGUCCACCAGGUGCUGUCAGAGUAAACCUGGUGGCCAGUCACGUGCCACCAGAACAGGUCUGGUGGUCCACCAGCUACAAUCAGGGAGUGUCUGGUGGUCCACCAGGUGCAAUCAGGGAAUGCCUAGUGGGCCACCAGAUGCCACCAAACAAAUGUGAUUGGCCAUCAGAAUUUCUGGUGGUCCACCAGCAUUAUUUUUUGAUAGGGCAUGCACUCUCUAUGUUGAAGCUUUAAAUACGUCGGAAAGGGAAACACACACACAAAAAAGAGAGAAACACUGUCAAGGAGCCCGCGAAGAGGGAAUCAAAUACGUAACAUGAAAAACGGUUAGGAGCAACUAAGAUUUAUUUGAACAAGAACUUUCGUGCAGUCCCGUGCACAAAAGUUCUUGUUCAAAUAAAUCUUAGUUGCUCCUAACCGUUUUUCAUGUUACGUGUUUAAAGCUUUAACAUAGAAAUCUGGGAAUGUGAACAUCUACAGUUUUAAACAAUGGGAUAUCGUGGCCUCCCCCCAAAGCGAAUCCAAAACCAAUUUAGUAAAUCUGAAGUCAUACUUGAUGAAUCCCGUCCAGUGUUAAUGAGUCAUUCGUUGUUAACGUUCACUGCAUCACAAUUCACUGCACGGUUCACUGGAAACCAACACUCCGUGCGCCAUGCGAUACCUGAUAUCUCACUUGGGAGAUUUCACAGCAUAUUGGCUGCACAGGUACAUACAUUCAGAGAUCAGGCAUGACAGAGAUCAUAUCCAUAUUCCUUUCCUGCUUGUGUAGGCGUCUGGUUGACUCGUCACAAAGGAGCUUGCGCAGCUGCUAUACCGAAAGAUGAUGCUCCAACCACUUAUCCAUUCUACUGUAUCCUUGCAGAUGCUUUUUCUGAAGCAGAUAUGAGUUGAGUGCUUAUACCUGAACAAGAAAGAUAGGGAUCAGAAACGUGAAAACAAAAAAUUCUACAUGCCAAAAUGUUGCAUAUAGGAGCUAACUUGCCUGUCAUAGAGUGGGUAGUGGAAAAACGCAGUAUUGGUCCUUCUUGAAUCGUUGUCGCACCAAGCAAGUGAGGCACACCUGUCUGUCUUCCACUUAUCUAUCAUUGAAUUGACUUGCAGAAGUAUCCAUCAUGCACCGAGUUUUUCAGAGUUGGUAUCGACAACCUGUUAGGGAAGGACACUAAAAAUCAUCCAAAGCGGUACCGGCAUAGACGGUUUCCUUGCGUCCCUGCUGCACUCACCACAUUUCGAAACUUUACCAGCCGCAGGCUGUAAAGCGAAUCGCCAGCCGCCGGCUCUAAAGCGAAACGCACCGCCUCCAAAAUAAUGUCGCCACCGGCGCGCGUACGCUAACGAUCUCUGAUUGGCUGCGCAAUAUAUGUAUAAAUAUUUGGAUGCUCAUUGGUCUAAAAAACUGGCGUCAGUUUCCUUUGCGCUGAUUGGGCGAGGGUCAUUUGACUGAGGAGCGAGCAUCCGAACGCGCGAACCGCUCAACGGAAGCAGGCGAACGGAGGAGAAUCACGUCUGUUCGGCCACGCGUGUUCUCUCGGACUGCAACCGUUGUGCACGCAGACGCUAGGGGUAGUUUGAGGGUUUUGAAUGCUUUAGAUUUAGAUUGUGGCGAACUGCUAAUGUGAGAACGGAAUGGCACGUCAACCUCAUCAUCACAACAGCGGGAAGACGAGCAUGUGAUGGAAUCCCUGCACCUCCAAAGGACGCAGAAAUCGUCAGAGAGGAAGUCUGCACUCUUUCCGACGUACUGCAGGUGAACGCCAUCGGCAACAACGACGCACAUAGCCCAGCAUUGGCUUUUGAACUGCCCUUCGAUGUCGAAGCACCUAAAGCUCCAGUGAAGCCUGUUACAAGACCUAAAAAGAUAUGUACUGUAGCAUUUUCGAGGCAGUUCCCGACGACAAAUAAAGUUGUUUUGUCAUACA